UACGUAGGGGGCUAGCGUUGCUCGGAAUCACUGGGCGUAAAGCGCACGUAGGCGGCUUUCUAAGUCAGGGGUGAAAUCCUGGAGCUCAACUCCAGAACUGCCUUUGAUACUGGAGAGCUAGAGUCCGGAAGAGGUGAGUGGAACUGCGAGUGUAGAGGUGAAAUUCGUAGAUAUUCGGCGGAACACCAGUGGCGAAGGCGACUCACUGGCCCGAUACUGACGCUGAGGCGCGAAAGCGUGGGGAGCAAACAGG
RNAcentral lists this ribosomal RNA (253 nucleotides) under uncultured bacterium. RNAcentral describes it as "partial 16S ribosomal RNA". It matches the Rfam family "Bacterial small subunit ribosomal RNA", at positions 524 to 776 of the family's 1533-position model. The record is from RNAcentral.